UACGGAGGGUGCAAGCGUUGUCCGGAUUUAUUGGGUUUAAAGGGUGCGUAGGCGGCUUAUUAAGUCAGGGGUGAAAGACUGCAGCUCAACUAUAGCAGUGCCUUUGAUACUGAUGAGCUUGAGUACAGAUGAGGCUGGCGGAAUGGGUGGUGUAGCGGUGAAAUGCAUAGAUACCAUCCAGAACACCGAUUGCGAAGGCAGCCGGCUAAACUGUAACUGACGCUGAGGCACGAAAGCGUGGGGAUCGAACAGG
RNAcentral lists this ribosomal RNA (253 nucleotides) under uncultured bacterium. RNAcentral's name for it is "partial 16S ribosomal RNA". It matches the Rfam family "Bacterial small subunit ribosomal RNA", at positions 524 to 776 of the family's 1533-position model. The record is from RNAcentral.